AACAUGAUGCUCGUAUAUUAUCAAAAUAGACAUAUCAUACGUCCUUUCUGGAAACUAUGGUGGCUGUGGAGCAGGUGCAGGUGCACCUACAUGCUUAUUCUCGAUAUCCAUCACCUCUCGAGCUUCCCGUCCUACACCUCCAUGGGGAAUAUUCAGACCGCCACAUCCUCAACGUCACACCACAAACAAAAAAACACAAAAUUUAAUAAAUUAAAAAAAACAAAACCGAAUGUCUAUCACCAAAGACAUUUGGUGGCUAAAC
Molecule: long non-coding RNA, 262 nt
Filed under: Lathyrus oleraceus (garden pea)
Lineage: Eukaryota; Viridiplantae; Streptophyta; Magnoliopsida; Fabales; Fabaceae
Description: Pisum sativum (pea) long non-coding RNA (PSAT_LNC004543)
Source: RNAcentral